CUGCCGGCGAAGAUAACGGCGUUAGUACUAUCAUCUACUCGGAGGUUUUCAACCACCUCUUUAAAAAAUAGGUUCGCACAAUAUCAUAAACCCUUAAACACUACAAAUACAUUACAAAGCUAACCUAACUUCCCUUUUCAAAUGGUUGUCACACACGAAGCUCCAAAUCCAGAAGUCCAUAAAGCAACCAGAAAUUCUUAACAACUCUUCCCAGCAACCAUGAGAACUAUAUGUUUUAUGACUAAUAUUUUAUUUUCUAAACGUCAACCUUUUAAGUUUUACCAAAACAGCUAACCCACCAAAAUAUAUACCACAAAACACUAACACAACUCAAACAUGCUUUGAAAGAAAAACCGCCCAAAACUAAUACUCAAAUUAUCCCACCACUCCACAUUACACACAUAAAAAUAAAAAAAAACAACAUAACACAACACAAACCCAUGUGUUCGUAUCAAUGUAAGCAUUACAAGAUAUACCCCCACCCAUAUACACACUCAAACACACACAACCAAAAAAACUAUACACAAAACCACAAAGAAAAGAAUUACAC
This 550-nucleotide long non-coding RNA is filed under the name Brassica napus (rape). RNAcentral describes it as "long non-coding RNA (BNAP_LNC019012)". The record is from RNAcentral. Lineage: Eukaryota; Viridiplantae; Streptophyta; Magnoliopsida; Brassicales; Brassicaceae.